RNAcentral lists this ribosomal RNA (406 nucleotides) under Sphingobacterium multivorum. Its description in RNAcentral is "bacterial SSU rRNA". It matches the Rfam family "Bacterial small subunit ribosomal RNA", at positions 385 to 789 of the family's 1533-position model. The record is from RNAcentral. Lineage: Bacteria; Pseudomonadati; Bacteroidota; Sphingobacteriia; Sphingobacteriales; Sphingobacteriaceae.
GACCAGCCAUGCCGCGUGCAGGAUGACUGCCCUAUGGGUUGUAAACUGCUUUUGUCCAGGAAUAAACCUAUCUACGUGUAKAUAGCUGAAUGUACUGGAAGAAUAAGGAUCGGCUAACUCCGUGCCAGCAGCCGCGGUAAUACGGAGGAUCCGAGCGUUAUCCGGAUUUAUUGGGUUUAAAGGGUGCGUAGGCGGCCUAUUAAGUCAGGGGUGAAAUACGGUGGCUCAACCAUCGCAGUGCCUUUGAUACUGAUGGGCUUGAAUCCAUUUGAAGUGGGCGGAAUAAGACAAGUAGCGGUGAAAUGCAUAGAUAUGUCUUAGAACUCCGAUUGCGAAGGCAGCUCACUAAGCUGGUAUUGACGCUGAUGCACGAAAGCGUGGGGAUCGAACAGGAUUAGAUACCCUG